RNAcentral lists this ribosomal RNA (200 nucleotides) under uncultured bacterium. Its description in RNAcentral is "partial 16S ribosomal RNA". It matches the Rfam family "Bacterial small subunit ribosomal RNA", at positions 8 to 204 of the family's 1533-position model. The record is from RNAcentral.
AGAGUUUGAUCAUGGCUCAGGACGAACGCUGGCGGCGUGCCUAAUACAUGCAAGUCGAGCGAAUCACUAGGAGCUUGCUCCUGGUGGUUAGCGGCGGACGGGUGAGUAACACGUGGGCAACCUGCCUGUAAGACUGGGAUAACUUCGGGAAACCGGAGCUAAUACCGGAUAAUCCUUUCCUUCACAUGAAGGAGAGCUGA